CUGCCGUGGGCGCUGGAGAAUUGAGGGGGGCUGCUCCUAGUACGAGAGGACCGGAGUGGACGCAUCACUGGUGUUCGGGUUGUCAUGCCAAUGGCACUGCCCGGUAGCUAAAUGCGGAAGAGAUAAGUGCUGAAAGCAUCUAAGCACGAAACUUGCCCCGAGAUGAGUUCUCCCUGAGACUUUAAGUCUCCUGAAGGAACGUUGAAGACGACGACGUUGAUAGGCCGGGUGUGUAAGCGCAGCGAUGCGUUGAGCUAACCGGUACUAAUGAACCGUGAGGCUUAACCUUACAACGCCGAAG
RNAcentral lists this ribosomal RNA (301 nucleotides) under Salmonella enterica subsp. enterica serovar Tennessee. RNAcentral describes it as "partial 23S ribosomal RNA". It matches the Rfam family "Bacterial large subunit ribosomal RNA", at positions 2642 to 2925 of the family's 2925-position model. The record is from RNAcentral. Lineage: Bacteria; Pseudomonadati; Pseudomonadota; Gammaproteobacteria; Enterobacterales; Enterobacteriaceae.